Non-coding RNA from Cyanistes caeruleus (blue tit), 226 nucleotides. The record is from RefSeq and is a predicted model, not a curated record. NCBI's taxonomy places the organism in Eukaryota, Metazoa, Chordata, Aves, Passeriformes, Paridae.
AGCUGAAGUAUACUUUUCUUUUAUUUCUAGGCAUUCAACACCUUUAUUGAUGAUAUAUUUGCUUUUAUCAUCACUAUGCCAACAUCUCAUAGGCUGGCAUGCUUUAGAGACGAUGUUGUGUUCCUGGUCUAUCUCUACCAAAGAUGGCUUUAUCCUGUGGAUAAGAGCAGAGUAAAUGAGUAUGGAGAAUCUUAUGAAGAAAAGUCGAAAAAAAAAAGCUCAUAGA